AUGGAGGGAGACAAUGUGGCUUGGAGACUUACGUGCUUUUAUGGAGAGCCUAAUUGGGAUUUGAAACAUUUGUCCUGGACACACCUGAGAAAUCUUCAUAACAAUGCAACAGGCCCUUGGUUGAUUAUAGGAGAUUUUAAUGAAAUUUUGGUGGCAAGUGAAAAGGAAGGCGGAAAUAUUAGACCCCAACAGUACAUGCAAAAUUUUAGGGACUGUGUAGAUGACUGUGGGCUGCAAGAGGUCAUGGCAAUCGGUGAUCCCUUCACGUGGAGCCGAGGAGUCAUCCGAGAGCGGCUGGAUCGAGCGCUCUGUAAUGAGAAGUGGGCCGAGAAAUUUCCAUAUGCAGCAGUAGUUCAUGAACAUCAUGUACAUUCUGAUCAUAGACCGCUCCUUUUGGAUACAAAUUAUUUUGCAGCCGCUAUGGGGCGCAAGCCAACAGGAGAAAGGAGGUUUGAAGCAAGAUGGUUAAGUCAAUCUACGGUGGAUGAGAUUGUUCGUACUGCUUGGGAAAGAGCUAAGUUAGCUGGUGCCGGGCCAUCAUUAGCAGAUAGAACAAAAUCAGUCAAGGAUGAUUUGCACAAGUGGGAUAGAGACACACUUAAGGGGCCAAAGAAAAGAAUAAAUAAAUAG
This 630-nucleotide ribosomal RNA is filed under the name Triticum aestivum (bread wheat). Its description in RNAcentral is "partial small subunit ribosomal RNA". The record is from RNAcentral. Lineage: Eukaryota; Viridiplantae; Streptophyta; Magnoliopsida; Poales; Poaceae.